Small nuclear RNA from Castor canadensis (American beaver), 107 nucleotides. The record is from Ensembl. NCBI's taxonomy places the organism in Eukaryota, Metazoa, Chordata, Mammalia, Rodentia, Castoridae.
GUGCUUGCUUCGGCAGCACAUAUACUAAAAUUGGAAUGAUACAGAGAAGAUUAGCACGGCCCCUGUGCGAGGAUGACACGCAAAUUCGUGAAGCGUUCCAUGUUUUU